AGUGAACGCUGGCGGUAGACCUAACACAUGCAAGUCGAACGGCAGCACAGUAAGAGCUUGCUCUUACGGGUGGCGAGUGGCGGACGGGUGAGGAAUACAUCGGAAUCUACUUUUUCGUGGGGGAUAACGUAGGGAAACUUACGCUAAUACCGCAUACGACCUACGGGUGAAAGCAGGGGAUCUUUGGACCUUGCGCGAUUGAAUGAGCCGAUGUCGGAUUAGCUAGUUGGCGGGGUAAAGGCCCACCAAGGCGACGAUCCGUAGCUGGUCUGAGAGGAUGAUCAGCCACACUGGAACUGAGACACGGUCCAGACUCCUACGGGAGGCAGCAGUGGGGAAUAUUGGACAAUGGGCGCAAGCCUGAUCCAGCCAUACCGCGUGGGUGAAGAAGGCCUUCGGGUUGUAAAGCCCUUUUGUUGGGAAAGAAAAGCAGCAGGUUAAUACCCCGCUGUUCUGACGGUACCCAAAGAAUAAGCACCGGCUAACUUCGUG
RNAcentral lists this ribosomal RNA (492 nucleotides) under uncultured bacterium. Its description in RNAcentral is "partial 16S ribosomal RNA". It matches the Rfam family "Bacterial small subunit ribosomal RNA", at positions 29 to 507 of the family's 1533-position model. The record is from RNAcentral.